This 90-nucleotide small RNA is filed under the name Xanthomonas hortorum pv. pelargonii. RNAcentral's name for it is "sX9 sRNA". It matches the Rfam family "Xanthomonas sRNA sX9". Lineage: Bacteria; Pseudomonadati; Pseudomonadota; Gammaproteobacteria; Lysobacterales; Lysobacteraceae. RNAcentral also lists the same sequence under 5 other names. The record is from RNAcentral.
AUGUACCCUCGUACACUGCGGUUCUGAGCGCGCCGUCCGCACCACCUAGCGAGCGAGCGCCUGACAGUGGGUGCAGUGGUUUUGUCGGCC